This 391-nucleotide long non-coding RNA is filed under the name Mytilus galloprovincialis (Mediterranean mussel). The record is from RNAcentral. Lineage: Eukaryota; Metazoa; Mollusca; Bivalvia; Mytilida; Mytilidae.
AUAGAAUAAGGCGAAAAAGCACAAUACAAACAGACUUUGAAACUCAUACAGAAAAUAGUUUGUUAGUAUAGAAUGUAAAAAGCUCAAUCGCCAUGAAAACAACUAUAUUCGUCGUAGACUAUAUCUGUUUUAAUUACACGAAUUUCUCCGAUGGUUUAACUUGGUUAUUUUGCCGAAUAUCAUUUCAAGUGUUAACAAUCCACUGGUCUGUACAGGGUCAAUCCGAUAUAGUUUCGGAAACAUUUUUUAAAUAAAGUGCUAGCUUCGUAAUAUUAUAGACUAAGUUUACACCUAAGUUUACACGGGACAGACAGCAUAAUAUACCCUUAUUUUCCAGGGUCAGUCCAAAUUUUCUCAAUCAUCUUCCUGGAUCGUCCCUAUUACAAAACCU